This 261-nucleotide ribosomal RNA is filed under the name uncultured archaeon. RNAcentral describes it as "partial 16S ribosomal RNA". It matches the Rfam family "Archaeal small subunit ribosomal RNA", at positions 748 to 1009 of the family's 1478-position model. The record is from RNAcentral.
CAGCCGUAAACUAUGCUCGCUAGGUGUCAGGCAUGGCGCGACCGUGUCUGGUGCCGCAGGGAAGCCGUGAAGCGAGCCACCUGGGAAGUACGGCCGCAAGGCUGAAACUUAAAGGAAUUGGCGGGGGAGCACAACAACGGGUGGAGCCUGCGGUUUAAUUGGACUCAACGCCGGAAAUCUCACCGGAUAAGACAGCAGAAUGAUUGCCGGGCUGAAGACUCUGCAUGACUAGCUGAGAGGAGGUGCAUGGCGUAGACGUCU